Molecule: long non-coding RNA, 1190 nt
Organism: Cyprinus carpio (common carp)
Lineage: Eukaryota; Metazoa; Chordata; Actinopteri; Cypriniformes; Cyprinidae
Source: Ensembl
UAAAGUCAAUGCUUUCUAAUACAAUUUUUUUUUUUUUUAUGUACACUACCAUUCAUAGAAACGACUGCGUUUUAGUGCCACUUUAAAAAAUAUAUAAAAAAAAUAUAAGAUUACGAAAUUAAAGUCGUAAUAUUUCGAGAAUAAAGUCAAAAUUACGAGAAUAAAGUCGCAAUACUUCGAGAAUAAAGUUGAAAUAUUACGAGAAUAAAGUAGAAAUGUUUCGAGAAUAAAGUAAAAAUAUUACGAGAAUAAGGUCGAAAUGUUUCGAGAAUAAAGUUGAAAUAUUAAGAGAAUAAAGUCUAAAUAUUUCGAGAAAAAAGUCAAAAUGUUUUGGGAAUAAAGUUGAAAUGUUUCAAGAAUUUAAAUCAUAGAAAUGAAAGCUAUAAUAUUUUGAGAGUAAGCUAUAGCCUUUAUUGUGCAUGCAAAUGUACUGGAUUGACAUCACCGGGAGAAGCUGCAGGCCACAGGAAUUGAUUUGAAUAUUGUUGCAUCCGAGCAGCUGCAUCAUCUUACAGGGAUGAGGAAGAGUCAAUUUUAAGGUCUUGUAGAAACGGCUUAAUAUCAAGACUAUGAUAUUUAUUAACAGAUUGAACAGGAACAAUUUUUUUAUCUUAACAUCAGCUCACACACCCAAUCGACAUCUUUGGGGGGGGGGGGUGCUGUAGCUCUCUUAUUUAAUGUUUUUUUUUUUUUUUUAAUACACUACAAAUAUAUGUGGGAUUAUUAGCAGAAAUCAUAUAAUUUGCGUCAUACUCAUGGGGACAGUAUGCUUGGAAAUAAUAUUUAACGUCUUCCAUUCAUUAUUUGUAGCACGCCAGCCACCCAGUAAUCACAAUAAUUUUGUGCUUUGUUGCUUUUAUUAUAACACAGCUCAGCUUUCUAAUUCUGUCAGUUUUAUCAUGAAAUACAAAUUAGAAAUGUGUUUUCCUCUUAAUUUCAAGUUUAUCCCAAGAUAUAAAAAUGAAGGAGCAUCAGAAGGCAUGAAAAAACAGUAGCCUAUAUCUUAAUUUAUAAUGAAAAUAAUGUCUCGUUGUUAUAGGAAAGACUCACAUGCCGCUUAAGUUGAAGCAAAUACAGCGAUCUGUCACACCACAUUAAAGAGCUUGAAAAAAAAACACAAACACACACACACAUUAUUGUAAUAUAUUGUUUGUAUUUCACUAUAAAACUGACAGAUUUUAAAAGCUGAC